UCGCCUGUUUUUAUCAAAAACAUCGCCUCUUGCCCCUCCAAGUAUAAGAGGUCCCGCCUGCCCUGUGACAAAAAGUUUAACGGCCGCGGUAUUUUGACCGUGCGAAGGUAGCGUAAUCACUUGUCUUUUAAAUGAAGACCGGUAUGAAUGGCAUAACGAGGGCUAAGCUGUCUCCUUUUUCCAGUCAAUGAAAUUGAUCUGCCCGUGCAGAAGCGGGCAUAAAACCAUAAGACGAGAAGACCCUAUGGAGCUUCAGACACCAGGACAGCCCACGUUAAAAACCCUCUGCCAAGAGCACAAACUAAAUGACCCCUGUCCCCCUGUCUUUGGUUGGGGCGACCGCGGGGGAACAAACAUCCCCCACGUGGAACGAGGCCUACUAGCCUCCAAGACCAGAGCCACAGCUCUAACGCACAGAACUUCUGACCAACAAGAUCCGGCACCGCCGAUCAACGGACCGAGUUACCCUAGGGAUAACAGCGCAAUCCUCUUUUAGAGCCCAUAUCGACAAGAGGGUUUACGACCUCGAUGUUGGAUCAGGACAUCCUAAUGGUGCAGCCGCUAUUAAGGGUUCGUUUGUUCAACGAUUAAAGUCCUACGUGAUCUGAGUUUCAAGACCGGACGG
RNAcentral lists this ribosomal RNA (625 nucleotides) under Ophiocara porocephalum (northern mud gudgeon). Its description in RNAcentral is "partial large subunit ribosomal RNA". It matches the Rfam family "Bacterial large subunit ribosomal RNA", at positions 1796 to 2627 of the family's 2925-position model. Lineage: Eukaryota; Metazoa; Chordata; Actinopteri; Gobiiformes; Eleotridae. The record is from RNAcentral.